Molecule: ribosomal RNA, 461 nt
Filed under: uncultured Pelotomaculum sp.
Lineage: Bacteria; Bacillati; Bacillota; Clostridia; Eubacteriales; Desulfotomaculaceae
Description: bacterial SSU rRNA
Rfam family: Bacterial small subunit ribosomal RNA
Source: RNAcentral
GCACAAGCAGCGGAGCGUGUGGUUUAAUUACGAUGCUACACGAAGAACUUACCAGGGCUUGACAUCCCCUGACCGCGUAUGAAAGUACGUUUUCACCCUCGGGUGACAGGGAGACAGGUGGUGCAUGGUUGUCGUCAGCUCGUGUCGUGAGAUGUUGGGUUAAGUCCCGCAACGAGCGCAACCCCUACGUUUAGUUGCUAACAGGUGAAGCUGAGCACUCUAGACGAACUGCCGUUGACAAAACGGAGGAAGGUGGGAUGACGUCAAAUCAUCAUGCCCCUUAUGUUCUGGGCUACACACGUGCUACAAUGGCCGGUACAGACGGAGGCGAAGCCGCGAGGCGGAGCAAAUCCGAAAAAGCCGGUCUCAGUUCGGAUUGCAGGCUGCAAUUCGCCUGCAUGAAGUCGGAAUCGCUAGUAAUCGCAGGUCAGCAUACUGCGGUGAAUACGUUCCCGGGCCUU